CGCAACUUGCGCCUCUUGGUAUUCCGAGAGGCAUGCCUGUCUGAGUGUCAUGUAGCCUCAACCCCCGGGUUUCUUUUGGACCCGGGAGCGUUGGACGUGGGCGUCUGCCGUCAGCCUCGGCUCGCCUCAAACGCGUCAGUGGGACCGGAUCCCGAGUGUGAGCGUAAUAAGUUUCGCUCCCUCGUGCGUCUGGGCCCGCUCACAACCCCCAUAUAUCUUGACAUUUGACCUCAGAUCAGGUAGGGCUACCCGCUGAACUUAA
This 262-nucleotide unclassified non-coding RNA is filed under the name Fellomyces horovitziae. RNAcentral describes it as "partial contains 5.8S ribosomal RNA, internal transcribed spacer 2, and large subunit ribosomal RNA". The record is from RNAcentral. Lineage: Eukaryota; Fungi; Basidiomycota; Tremellomycetes; Tremellales; Cuniculitremaceae.